Molecule: ribosomal RNA, 497 nt
Filed under: uncultured bacterium
Lineage: Bacteria
Description: partial 16S ribosomal RNA
Rfam family: Bacterial small subunit ribosomal RNA
Source: RNAcentral
GAUGAACGCUGGCGGCGUGCCUAAUACAUGCCAGUCGAGCGAACGGACGAGAAGCUUGCUUCUCUGAUGUUAGCGGCGGACGGGUGAGUAACACGUGGAUAACCUACCUAUAAGACUGGGAUAACUUCGGGAAACCGGAGCUAAUACCGGAUGAUAUUUUGAACCGCAUGGUUCAAAAGUGAAAGACGGUCUUGCUGUCACUUAUAGAUGGAUCCGCGCUGCAUUAGCUAGUUGGUAAGGUAACGGCUUACCAAGGCAACGAUGCAUAGCCGACCUGAGAGGGUGAUCGGCCACACUGGAACUGAGACACGGUCCAGACUCCUACGGGAGGCAGCAGUAGGGAAUCUGCCGCAAUGGGCGAAAGCCUGACGGAGCAACGCCGCGUGAGUGAUGAAGGUCUUCGGAUCGUAAAACUCUGUUAUUAGGGAAGAACAUAUGUGUAAGUAACUGUGCACAUCUUGACGGUACCUAAUCAGAAAGCCACGGCUAACUACGUG